AGUGGGGAAUAUUGCACAAUGGGCGCAAGCCUGAUGCAGCCAUGCCGCGUGUAUGAAGAAGGCCUUCGGGUUGUAAAGUACUUUCAGCGGGGAGGAAGGUGUUGUGGUUAAUAACCACAGCAAUUGACGUUACCCGCAGAAGAAGCACCGGCUAACUCCGUGCCAGCAGCCGCGGUAAUACGGAGGGUGCAAGCGUUAAUCGGAAUUACUGGGCGUAAAGCGCACGCAGGCGGUCUGUCAAGUCGGAUGUGAAAUCCCCGGGCUCAACCUGGGAACUGCAUUCGAAACUGGCAGGCUGGAGUCUUGUAGAGGGGGGUAGAAUUCCAGGUGUAGCGGUGAAAUGCGUAGAGAUCUGGAGGAAUACCGGUGGCGAAGGCGGCCCCCUGGACAAAGACUGACGCUCAGGUGCGAAAGCGUGGGGAGCAAA
RNAcentral lists this ribosomal RNA (427 nucleotides) under Enterobacter cloacae. RNAcentral's name for it is "bacterial SSU rRNA". It matches the Rfam family "Bacterial small subunit ribosomal RNA", at positions 353 to 772 of the family's 1533-position model. Lineage: Bacteria; Pseudomonadati; Pseudomonadota; Gammaproteobacteria; Enterobacterales; Enterobacteriaceae. The record is from RNAcentral.